GCGCCCCCGGGGCCGGGCCUCGGGGCGGGGGGUGCUGGGGCCAAGGCGCCGCACGGGCGCCCAACCUCGGGGUGCCGCCUCCACAGGCUGUGGCUGGGGCUGGGGCGCGGGAGGCCCGCGGGGCUUCGGAGAGGGAAACUUAGAGAAAAGUCUUCCACUUGGCUUGGGGCCGCAGGGGAAGGAAGACGCCCUCCGCCUGUGCCGGCGCCGACCGCGGGCCGGCAGGUGGGGAGGCCCAGAGCUGGCGGGGAGUUCGUCCCACUCGGAGCCACAGCCUUGCCCGAGGGAGCCUCGAAAUCGUUCAAGGGCAACCUCAGACCAGAGCCAGGGCGCCUCCUCCACAUUCCUGACAGAUGUGCACGCCGCCUCCUCUUGGAUGCUUCCCGUGACAAGGAGCUCACUCCUCAACAAGGCGGACUGCUCGUCCAUCAAGCCUGGCAUCUAAUUCACCUGUGCCGGGUACCGCAGAUGGAGAACGCCAGACAGCUGACACAAAUGCAAGACCCACAGCAACCCCAGAGGCUGAAUUAUUUCCUCCUGGAUGGGAAUGAGUCAUCUCCUCCGCCGUCUCCCUCAACAGGGCUGUAACAUGUUUCCAAGGGUUUCAAAGCCCUGUUUGAAAACAUGGGCUUUGCGGACAGACCCAUGUUCAACUUCAACCCCAGCGGCUUCUGGGUGGGUGGCCUUGAGCAAGUCUCUUCCCAAAGGCUCAUCUUGCUCAUCUAUAAACACAGUCCUAGACCUCUUUCCCUCCUCUACUGAGAGAUCAUCCUGCAACUCCCAAGAGUACAUGUCUCUAUUGCAGCUAUACUGAAACUGAUCAGCACCUCACAGUCCCAGUUCCCGCUUCUCAGGAGGAGUAAUCUCAUGGACCCAUCUUGGCUGUGAGGGGUGGGCAAACUCAGAGAGAGGGUACUAAGUUGCUGAGAAGACAAACAGCUUUCCAAGCAGCCCCCAAACUGUAUUAUUGGGGAAGCUUCUUAUCUGGUGGAAGCUACUUCAGGGAACACACAAAUGAUAAGAAAGAAAAACAGUCUUAUUGCUAAGUUGGAAAAAGUUUGAGUGGUCUGGAUAGAAGAACAAACCAGCCAUAACAGUCCCUUCAGCCAAAGCCUAGUCAGAGCAAGGUCUUAACUCUCUUCUAUUCUCUGAAGCCUGAGAGAGGUGAGGAAGCUGCAGAAGAGAAGUUUGAUGCUAGCAGAGGUUAGUUCAUGAGGUUUAAGAAAAGAAGUCAUCCUAUAACAUAAAAGUACAAGGUGUGCAGAUCACCAAGGGGUAUUUAAAAAAAUAAAAAUAAAAAAUAAAGUACAAGGUGAAGGAGCACGUGCUGAUACAGAAGUUGCAGCAAGUUAUCCAGAAGAUCUAGCUAAGAUCACUGAGGAAGGCGGCUACACUAAACAACAGAUUUUCAGUGGAGACACAACAGCUUUCUAGUGGAAGAAAAUGCUACCUACGGCUUUCACAGCUGGAGAGGAGGAGUCAAUACCUGGUUUCUAAGCUUCAGAGGACAGGCUGAACUCUCUUGUUAAGGGCUAAUGCAACUGGUGACUUUAAGUUGAAGCCAAUGCUCAUUUACCAUUUUGAAAAUCCUCAGGCUCUUAAGAAUCAUGCUAAAUCAACUCUUCCUAUAAAUGAAAUAACAUUUCACUAUUUCUAUAAAUGAAAUAACAUUUCACUAUUUCUAUAAAUGAAAUAACAUUUCAUUAUUUCUAUAAAUGAAAUAACAAGGCUUGAAUGACAGCACAUCUGUUUACUGGUUUACAGUAAAGAGCACAUCUGGUUUACUGAAAAUUUAAACCCACUGUUGAGACCUACUGCAGAGAAAAAAUGAUUCUUCUCAAAAUAUGACUGCUCAAUGACAAUGCACCUGAUCACCUAUGAGCUCUGAUGAAGAUGUACAAGGAGAUUAACAUUGUUUUCAUGCCUGCUAACACCAACAUUCAUUCUG
This 1948-nucleotide long non-coding RNA is filed under the name Homo sapiens (human). RNAcentral's name for it is "HSALNT0378739". Lineage: Eukaryota; Metazoa; Chordata; Mammalia; Primates; Hominidae. The record is from RNAcentral.